GUGGGGAAUAUUGGACAAUGGGCGAAAGCCUGAUCCAGCCAUGCCGCGUGUGUGAAGAAGGUCUUCGGAUUGUAAAGCACUUUAAGUUGGGAGGAAGGGCAGUAAGUUAAUACCUUGCUGUUUUGACGUUACCGACAGAAUAAGCACCGGCUAACUUCGUGCCAGCAGCCGCGGUAAUACGAAGGGUGCAAGCGUUAAUCGGAAUUACUGGGCGUAAAGCGCGCGUAGGUGGUUUUGUAAGUUGGAGGUGAGAUCCCCGGGCUCAACCUGGGAACUGCAUCCAAAACUGCAUGACUAGAGUACGGUAGAGGGUAGUGGAAUUUCCUGUGUAGCGGUGAAAUGCGUAGAUAUAGGAAGGAACACCAGUGGCGAAGGCGACUACCUGGACUGAUACUGACACUGAGGUGCGAAAGCGUGGGGAGCAAACAGGAUUAGAAACCCCAGUAGUCC
Molecule: ribosomal RNA, 450 nt
Filed under: uncultured bacterium
Lineage: Bacteria
Description: partial 16S ribosomal RNA
Rfam family: Bacterial small subunit ribosomal RNA
Source: RNAcentral